This 445-nucleotide ribosomal RNA is filed under the name uncultured bacterium. RNAcentral's name for it is "bacterial SSU rRNA". It matches the Rfam family "Bacterial small subunit ribosomal RNA", at positions 354 to 796 of the family's 1533-position model. The record is from RNAcentral.
GUGAGGAAUAUUGGACAAUGGGCGGGAGCCUGAUCCAGCCAUGCCGCGUGCAGGAAGACGGUCCUAUGGAUUGUAAACUGCUUUUGUACGGGAAGAACAAGGGGCACGUGUGCCCCUCUGACGGUACCGUAAGAAUAAGGAUCGGCUAACUCCGUGCCAGCAGCCGCGGUAAUACGGAGGAUCCGAGCGUUAUCCGGAAUCAUUGGGUUUAAAGGGUCCGUAGGCGGGCCAUUAAGUCAGGGGUGAAAGUCUGCGGCUCAACCGUAGAAUUGCCCUUGAUACUGGUGGUCUUGAGUUAUGGUGAAGUAACUAGAAUAUGUAGUGUAGCGGUGAAAUGCAUAGAUAUUACAUAGAAUACCGAUUGCGAAGGCAGGUUACUAACCAUAUACUGACGCUGAUGGACGAAAGCGUGGGGAGCGAACAGGAUUAGAUACCCUAGUAGUCC